Molecule: ribosomal RNA, 301 nt
Filed under: uncultured bacterium
Lineage: Bacteria
Description: partial 16S ribosomal RNA
Rfam family: Bacterial small subunit ribosomal RNA
Source: RNAcentral
CAGCGCCACGGUAAUACAGAGGGUGCGAGCGUUAAUCGGAUUUACUGGGCGUAAAGCGUGCGUAGGCGGCUUCUUAAGUCGGAUGUGAAAUCCCUGAGCUUAACUUAGGAAUUGCAUUCGAUACUGGGAAGCUAGAGUAUGGGAGAGGAUGGUAGAAUUCCAGGUGUAGCGGUGAAAUGCGUAGAGAUCUGGAGGAAUACCGAUGGCGAAGGCAGCCAUCUGGCCUAAUACUGACGCUGAGGUACGAAAGCAUGGGGAGCAAACAGGAUUAGAUACCCGCGUAGUCCCUGUCUCUUAUACA